CCCACCUCCCCAGGUUACCGGCGCUCUAGGGUCGCGCUUCGCCCUCGGAGUCGCCCGGGAUAAUGACAGCUAGUGAGUGCGUGCACUGCCUUCUCACUGCCAAGCCUGGCCUUAAAUGCCCUCUCAACUUUUAAAAGUUGUUUCUUCAAAGUGCAUUCACGGCCUAACCCUCCUUUGAGUGCCAGUUCGGUGGCAGACCUUAGAGUAAAUCCAGGAGACCCAGAAUAAGGGAAACUGGGUCCCCCUCAGUCUGGAGUGAAAGAAGUGCUUUCAUAGAAAGGCCCUGCAAAGGAGCCAUUUAUUCUUCCUGUGGGAAGGCUAGGAGGGAUUGGGGAAGCCCCAUGGAGGAGGGGCCUUCAUGCUCGGCCGGCCCGAAAAGGGAGUAGGAGUUCUCCAGCCACAGGGCUGGUAGCCUGGACUGCAAGGCAGACAGGGCUGAAGCCCCUGGAAAAACCUGAGCUGGGCUCCAGUUUUGCAGUCAAAACUGUGGAAGCAUGCACACUUACACACACACACGCACACACACCCUCCCUGGUUCUUUGUACAAUGAGGCUACUACCUGUUAGACUACUUAUUUCAUCUUUUCUGAACGUUUGCCUAUCAAACUGGUGACUGGCUGGCCAGGCCACUACCUCUGACAUCUGCAAGGCACCCACCUCUUCUUGGCUUCUGUCUACUUCUGAGGUCUGUAGUGAUCCCACUUGUGCCUGAGUCUCCUUUUCUUUCCUAAACAUAACCUUUUGUAAAAUUAACAAUGUUGGUGGAGCAAAGUGGUCCACACCUGGAAUCCUAGCAUUCAGGAGGCUGAAACAGCAGGAUCGGGAGUUUGAGGCCAGCCUGGACAGUUUAGCAGGAUCCUGAUUCAAAAAAAAAAAGGUCGAGCACCAUGGCAGGGGUUCACAGUGGACCAAAGCUGCUUCCCUCAUGCCAGCCAGCAAGCAAAAGGAGUGGAAGCCACCAACAACCCAGUCGUUCCUCCCAGGACCUGCUGAUAUGACCUGAUUUCCUCCAACUAGUGGCGCCAUUAGCUGGGAACCAAACCUUCAAUACGUAUUGGGUAUUGUGUCUCAACAACAAGAAAGUGACCAAGACAGUGAUGUCUGUUAACUGAGUAGGGUACCUCAAACUUUUUAAAUGGCACCUGGUAAAAACAAAAGCCACAAGACCUGCAGAGACUGCAAAAGUCACGCACCAUCACAUGUCCCGUUCUAUUGCUCAAAGCAAGUCAGAAGAGCAGCCCUAAUCCAAAAAGUAAGGUCAUAGACUUCUCCUCUUGGUAGGAGCUGUGUACUGUGUAUACCAUAAUGAGAAACUCCAGGAGCAGCCAUCUUUGUCAACAAUUCACCGCACAUGCUGGGCUUUCCUACUCCAGGAUUAUAGGCUGCCCUUGAGAAGCCCCUUCCAUUCCCAUCUGCAGAACGCUUUCCACAGGUUUUCCAUUAGAAGCACCACAUAGGACCCUUCUCCAUCCAAGUUACAGAAAGUGAUGGUAAUCUCCUGUGAAAAGCCCAGGUGGCUAAUAACAGCCAUUGCAUCCCAAGCCUGCCAAACGAGGUCUUCCCUCAGUGGUAGCUGGAGUUGUGCUACAAACACACUCCUGCUUCAUCUGCCCCAGUGAUGGGCGAGGCAGGGACAUGCUGAGCCUGUCAGCAGGAACCAGCUCUCCACAGUCGCUGCCCAUGGGAUCUCGUGGCCAAUUGCUCCCUAGAACUGAAAACAGAAAUGGAAUAGGCCCAAUAAAAACCUCAGAAAAGCUACACUUGGAAAGGAUGUGAUAAAGGCACAUUCUUUCAGUUUAAUGAUCUGAAUGACAUUACAUACCAAGAGUAAUGUCAUGCUCUGGACAUACAACAAUGAAUAAUGUGUCAUGCCUGCUGGCCUAGAAUUCAUAGUCUGGUAGAUAAUAAAUUUGGUAAAGG
Long non-coding RNA from Heterocephalus glaber (naked mole-rat), 1919 nucleotides. The record is from Ensembl. Lineage: Eukaryota; Metazoa; Chordata; Mammalia; Rodentia; Bathyergidae.